This 473-nucleotide ribosomal RNA is filed under the name uncultured bacterium. RNAcentral's name for it is "bacterial SSU rRNA". It matches the Rfam family "Bacterial small subunit ribosomal RNA", at positions 355 to 825 of the family's 1533-position model. The record is from RNAcentral.
UCGAGAGGCUUCGGCAAUGGGGGAAACCCUGACCGAGUGACGCCGCGUGGGUGAUGAAGAUUCUCGGAUCGUAAAACCCUGUCAGGUGGGAUGAAAAACCAUUCGGUUAAUACCCGAGUGGCUUGACAGUACCACCAGAGGAAGCUCCGGCCAACUCCGUGCCAGCAGCCGCGGUAACACGGGGGGAGCAAGCGUUGUUCGGAAUCACUGGGCGUAAAGCGCACGUAGGCGGAUGUGCCAGUCAGGGGUGAAAUCCCGGAGCUCAACUUCGGAACUGCCUCUGAUACAGCACGUCUUGAGUCCGAUAGAGGUGGGUGGAAUUCCUAGUGUAGAGGUGAAAUUCGUAGAUAUUAGGAAGAACACCGGUGGCGAAGGCGGCCCACUGGAUCGGUACUGACGCUGAGGUGCGAAAGCGUGGGGAGCAAACAGGAUUAGAUACCCAAGUAGUCCCUGAGCGGGCUGGCAAGGCGCAU